This 253-nucleotide ribosomal RNA is filed under the name uncultured bacterium. RNAcentral describes it as "partial 16S ribosomal RNA". It matches the Rfam family "Bacterial small subunit ribosomal RNA", at positions 524 to 776 of the family's 1533-position model. The record is from RNAcentral.
UACGUAGGGUGCAAGCGUUAAUCGGAAUUACUGGGCGUAAAGCGUGCGCAGGCGGUGAUGUAAGACAGGUGUGAAAUCCCCGGGCUUGACCUGGGAACUGCAUUUGUGAAUACAUCGCUGGAGUGCGGCAGAGGGGGAUGGAAUUCCGCGUGUAGCAGUGAAAUGCGUAGAUAUGCGGAGGAACACCGAUGGCGAAGGCAAUCCCCUGGGCCUGCACUGACGCUCAUGCACGAAAGCGUGGGGAGCAAACAGG